CCUACGGGAGGCAGCAGUGGGGAAUUUUGGACAAUGGGCGAAAGCCUGAUCCAGCAAUGCCGCGUGAGUGAAGAAGGCCUUCGGGUUGUAAAGCUCUUUUGUCAGGGAAGAAACGGUGAGAGCUAAUAUCUUUUGCUAAUGACGGUACCUGAAGAAUAAGCACCGGCUAACUACGUGCCAGCAGCCGCGGUAAUACGUAGGGUGCAAGCGUUAAUCGGAAUUACUGGGCGUAAAGCGUGCGCAGGCGGUUUUGUAAGUCUGAUGUGAAAUCCCCGGGCUCAACCUGGGAAUUGCAUUGGAGACUGCAAGGCUAGAAUCUGGCAGAGGGGGGUAGAAUUCCACGUGUAGCAGUGAAAUGCGUAGAUAUGUGGAGGAACACCGAUGGCGAAGGCAGCCCCCUGGGUCAAGAUUGACGCUCAUGCACGAAAGCGUGGGGAGCAAACAGGAUUAGAUACCCUGGUAGUCCACGCCCUAAACGAUGUCUACUAGUUGUCGGGUCUUAAUUGACUUGGUAACGCAGCUAACGCGUGAAGUAGACCGCCUGGGGAUACGGUCGCAAGAUUAAAACCGUUAAAGGAAUUGACGG
RNAcentral lists this ribosomal RNA (586 nucleotides) under uncultured bacterium. RNAcentral describes it as "bacterial SSU rRNA". It matches the Rfam family "Bacterial small subunit ribosomal RNA", at positions 338 to 916 of the family's 1533-position model. The record is from RNAcentral.